UACAGAGGGUGCGAGCGUUAAUCGGAAUUACUGGGCGUAAAGCGUGCGUAGACGGUUAUGUAAGUCAGAUGUGAAAGCCCCGGGCUCAACCUGGGAAUUGCAUUUGAGACUGUGUAGCUAGGGUGCGGAAGAGGGAAGCGGAAUUUCCGGUGUAGCGGUGAAAUGCGUAGAUAUCGGAAGGAACACCAGUGGCGAAAGCGGCUUCCUGGUCCAGCACCGACGUUCAGGCACGAAAGCGUGGGGAGCAAACAGG
This 253-nucleotide ribosomal RNA is filed under the name uncultured bacterium. RNAcentral's name for it is "partial 16S ribosomal RNA". It matches the Rfam family "Bacterial small subunit ribosomal RNA", at positions 524 to 776 of the family's 1533-position model. The record is from RNAcentral.